Non-coding RNA from Triticum urartu, 1000 nucleotides. Lineage: Eukaryota; Viridiplantae; Streptophyta; Magnoliopsida; Poales; Poaceae. The record is from RefSeq and is a predicted model, not a curated record.
ACACUUCCUCAAAACAAAGGGAACCUGUCACACAAUUGUCCAAAAAAAGAAGAAAAAAGAGAACCUCACACUCUCCGACCAUCAGACGUGGCUCUUGCCUGAUCCCCUUUUCAUCUCCUUCUAUCCCCUCGUACCAAAAUUGCUUCCACCCGAGCGCUGCAGAUUCAAUUCUGAAUAAAACUUAGUUUCCCCUCUUGAUUCCUUGCCGUGAUCUUGCUCGUCCUCACCUGCACGCACCUUUGCAGCUCGGCUCACUGGUGCGGCGACGGCGUGACCAUCUACGGCGCCUGGUUUUCCCCGAUGUAUGCCUCCUCAAUCUCUUAUGCUGGUCAACGGCGGCGGAGGGGUAGCAGGGCUCGACGAGAAGCUGAGCAAUAGAGGAGGCUAGCUUGUCGAUCUUGACAGUGCCGUUGUCGACUGUCGUCGCCGUCCUUGGAGGCGAUAUGGGUGUGGAUCCCGUCUGCUACAGCGAGCUUGGAUCCACAUCAUAUCGUGGCUGUCCCCGAGCAAGACCAGCCCAGCAGGUCGUCUUGCUCCUCGAUAGAGUUGCAGAUGGCAUGUCAUGUCGUGCUAAUCUCACGUCGUGAUAGUUCAAGUCUGGUACUUCAAUUGCAGAUGAUGGUCCAGCUGCUGGAGGUGAUCUGCUCACCUGAUGGAAUCGACGGCACACAACUGAGAAGAUUGGGGCACUUGCUCGUGAGAGUUCUUUCUUAGGAAAACCUGAUGGAGCCGAUGGCACAAUCGAGGAGAUUGGGGCACUCGCUCGUGAGAGUUCUUUUUUUUAGGGAAAACCAUCAUGGCGAUGUAUAUUGAUUUGGAAUAAUAGUACAUCAUCGGCAGGAUUGCUUGUGAUGGUAUGAGUCGAACCUAUGGUGAGUUUUGUUUAUGAGAUCGUGAGAUCGAUUGUGAGAUUUGUGUAAAGAACACGGGACGGAUCAAAAAAUGGUUUCUGAGAUCAGCGUAUAGGAAAUGGCAAAAAGACAGAACGGCAUGCAUGCAA